Molecule: RNA transcript, 10090 nt
Organism: Cryptomeria japonica (Japanese cedar)
Lineage: Eukaryota; Viridiplantae; Streptophyta; Pinopsida; Cupressales; Cupressaceae
Gene name: probable E3 ubiquitin-protein ligase HIP1
Exons: 5
Source: RefSeq, a predicted model, not a curated record
GAGCAUGGAAAUUAGUUUGCUUGCGACGUGCCCAUAAAAAGAGAACUGUAUUGGAGAGAACUCCGGUUUUCGUGAUUGUUUAAAUCGUGCAUCAAUAAUUGUCAUUUCGCCUGUGUGCACAUGGAAUUGCAUCAGAAGAUCCAGUCUUCCAUAUGUUUCAAACCCUUACAGUCUUUAAUUUUCUGUCAUUUGCCGACGAUUUAGAAGCUUUCAGAUUAUCAUCGAGCAGACGAAGAAGAUCAGGGGCGUACAUUUUACUUGGGACACACAUUGUAGUCAUGAUAUAGAGACAAAUAAAAUUACUGUGUCAAUAGUUGAAAGCUGAGUGGAAAUUGGAGACACGAUAAAUUGGCGUGAUAACUGAAACCAGAAUGUAUCCAGACAGUAGGUUAAAUUUAUUAACUGCUUCAAAUAUGCAAAGGUCUAAUAACUUGGCAAAUACAACAAAUUUUAAUUUGGGAAAUACGACAAGUCAUGACGGAAAUGGCCUUUAUACUCGUGGCAGAAUGGCAGCAAGUGGAUUCAGCAGUUCAGAAUGGACAUCUUCUCAGGCCGCAGUUGGCAACUUCUGUUCUCAUCCAGCUGCACAUGUAGGGUCUGAAGCUGAACAUGUGCCUCAUUGUGGAAAUGGAGUAGGUGGUGGAAGGGCCAAUCAGUUUGCUGAUGGUGGAAGACGAUCAUGUAAACGGAAAAUUUUUGAAGGCAUAUCAGGACAUUCUGCUUACGAUGGCCCUUCACAUUCUUUUAGUAGGCAAAGGAAUAGUUUAACAAGUUUCACAGUUCCUGCAAGGCAUGAAAUAGGCAGUGUAUCAAGUUUUUCUACCCCUGCAGGGACACCCGCUAGUGCUCAACAUCGGGAAGAUCCAGGCAUGCCUAGGCCGGGUCUUAUGGGAGGCUCAGGCAUGGCUCCAGGCUAUAGGAGUAAUGCUUUAUCUGUAAUUGGGACAAUAGAUGGUCCUCAAAGAAGUGUUAGGAACAGAUCAAAUCAAACAUUUCAUGAAGAGCAAAAUCUACCUUAUUUGCGACUGCCAGGCAAUUAUACAAGGCAUGUGCAUCCAAGAAGUUCUCCAGCUGAGCAGUCAAACAUGGAUAGGACAAAUAUCAAUUCUAGUAUUAUUUUGCAUGAACAGUGCCACUUUCCAACUUCAUCUCAAUUCGAGAGGAGCAUAGUUCCCAAUAACCAGAAUGAAAAUAUGUCAUCAAUUGGCAGUCAGUUUACCUUCAAUGCUACUGGAAGGGAAAGGCCGUCUUCUUUGCAUAUGGAGGUUAGCUCAAGCAGCAUGAUAUCUGCAGUACCAAAUCAAGCAUGGCCUGUGUCAGGUGCUGACAGAAGGACAUCAAACAAUAAUUCUUCAAGCUGGGCACCAGUAACUAGAAACUUAAAUGGUGUUCCAUAUACAGAUCAAAUGUUCAACAAUCCAAUACUCAGUUCAAGAGCACCAGUGCCACAGCACCUCCCACAAAAUCUACACAUGCAAGUCCCUAGGGCUAAUUCUGGUUUUGCACAAGGAUUGAUGUCUUCAUCGAGGUCUGGUCCAAGCAAUCAUCAUGUCCGUGCAACUGGGGCUAUUUCGUUUAAUCCAGUGAAUAUGGUUAUAAACCAUGAAACAGGCUCACAAGUUCCUCACUAUUUUAAUUCAUCAUGGAUGGAACAUAAUGGCAGUCGCAAUGGUAGACCUCUUACAAGAAGUAUUUUGGAUAUUCCAUUAGAAAGAUUCCAAGCUCUGCAGAAUGAGAAUGAAAGACAUAAUAGAAUGAUACCUGAGAUAUGCUGAUGCGGAUUUAAGGAUUCAGAGAUAAGUAUCUUCAGUUGAUUCAGCAUGAGUUUCAGUGCUCCGGAAGGUGAUUUGAUCGAGUUAUGAGGUCCGGUGUGAUGAUUGGUUAUGUAUUGCAGAGUUGUGCUUUUUGGUUUGUAUUGCUCUGAAAUUGAUUCAUUAUGUUGAGCGGAUUUGGGAGAGUGUUUGGGACGUUCAUGUGUGGCCUCAGUCCAAGUGGUUCAUGAUUUGAAACUUCACAAGCGUAUCUAUUAGAUUGUCAGUAAGUUAUGUUGGUAUUCUUGAGCUCCGGUAGAAAAAUGAUGAUGAUUCUAGUAAUCCAAGUUGUUGCGGUGGAGUUCACGUUGCUUGUUGAUGUUUCUAGACCAUGUUCUAUCCGUGUUGCUGGUCCGCAUUGAUCGUUGUGCGUGUUAUUGAAGAUUUUCUUGGUCUGCUGGUAUUCUUCGUGUUAUACGACUUUCUGGCCGACCCGAUGAUUCUUGCGUGUUGCGGAUGAUCUUGGCGAGAUAUUCGAUGGUGUUGCAUGCUCAAGGUUUUGAUUUAGGUCCAUGCUAUGUCCUUGCCGACAUUGUAUUGGUCUGCAUAUUGAUUUAUGUAUCGUGUAAUGUAAUUUUGUAAUUAGGUCUAAUGAGUUGACCCGACCUUGAAAUAGAGGUUGAUGAUUUGUAUAAGUAAGUGUAAUAAUCAUGUAAGUUGUAUGUCUGCGUUCUUUGAGCGUGUUGUAUGUGCGAACAAGCAUUUAAUCUUUCGGAAGAGUGAUGAAGUGAAGAAGAGAGUUGUAGAGCAGACAGUGUGCUUAAACAGAACUGUGAUCAUGCAUUUGAAGACACUAUUCUUUUAGUUCAUGUAAUCCAGAUUGGUGUCCAAUCUUUGUAAGGCAGUGAGUCUUCCUUUGUAGCCCUUUGUUGUUUUGAGCAGUGAGCUCUAGGCAGUGUGCCUGAAUGCAUGUGCAUUACCCAUUGUAAUAUUUACAUAUACUACUGCAGAGUAUCAUCAUAUUGUGGGUAGGUUCCCAUCGUGGUUUUUCCUUUAAUCGGGUUUUCCAUGUCAAAAUCUGUGUGUUAUGGGUACUGUUAUCUUUGUUCUUGUUGUUAACGAUCAUAUCUGAAGUUGUGGUUAAUUUGCUUAAGUUUGGUGAAAACUGAUUCACCCCCCCCUCUCAGUUUUCCAUCAUUGUUGCUGCCAACAUGUCUCUACUUAUGUUACUAGAAAUGAGAAACAAAAGCUGCAAUGACAAUAGUAAUGUGACAAGAAAUAGGAUACUUAAGAGGUUGCUAUAAGCAUGCCUUCUCAAAACUUGAGAUUUAUAUUAACUAAAAAAAUUAUUCCAAUAACUAUAUAUUUAAACUCCAAAAAAAAUUUACUUGUGAAAAUUAAAAAUAUCCAACUAUCCGCUAUUUUAUUAUUUUUAAUUUUAAAUAAAGCAUAUUUCACAUACUAAAAGAUUAUAAAUAGAAAAAUCUCAAAAUAUUAUUUGGAAAAAGUAAGGAUUUUUUCUUUGCUAUAUUACUUGGGUUAGGUACCUAGAAGCCGCAAAAAAGAGCAUUCAAUGUAGAUAUUGGUAGCAUGUAGUUCAUUAGUCCCAUUCUAUAAAGAUAUAUCCAUCUAGAAUCUAGAUAUUAUCUGACAACAAAUAGUAGAAAAAAUCCCUAAGCAGCAUAGUUGAUGAGAAGGUUGAUCAAGACUAUAACAGUCAGAAUGACAUCAAUACAAAAACAUAUCAAGCCACAACAUUCUAGAAAUAGGAAAUUAAUUUAAUUAACCCAUGCUAAGCUUAGAUUAGUAGUUCCAAGUCUUCCAACUACCAGCAACAGGACAUCCGAUAGAGACGAACCCACCAAUAACCAAAACCAAAACUGGAAGCAUUCAUAGUAGAAGACGCAAAUUACUAUAGCCUCAACCACAGAGUCAUGAAAGGAAAAUUAUGUAGGCAUCGUUGCUGCCCUUAAUCAUGCUUACAUUAAAGACAUUUUCCACCUUUUGUAGAUGGAGAAACCUGAAUUGCCUUAUCAACAUCCUCGUUGUCAUAGCAAUUAGAAAGUAUUGGUUUAACAUAAAAAUGUAGGGAAACAUGUCAAUUGUAAUAACUUGGUAAUUACAUCGAUGCCUUGCUACAUAUGCUCUUGAUGGUGCUUCAUGGCAUGGAGAUGGUGCAAGGAAUAAUUGAAAUAUGCUUUGACGUGGUGCACAACAUCCUUUGUUAUACCCAUCACAUUCAAAAGCAUUGUAGUAUAGCUCAGGGACUAGGCCAUGUCGAAAUAUUUAUCUGCCCACACAUAUGAUUUGGAUCCAACAAGAAGCUGGUCAUGGCUGCUCUCAUACCUAUGCAAGGUUCACCAUCAUUUUCCUUGGUCAACUCCCAAAUUGUAGUCUCCGAUUUUUAAUCUCCUACUUGAGAAAGGAAUUAUCCUUGUUGCUGUGGCACCUUUUGCUUCCCUUUCACCAUCAGCUCGUCGCACUAUUCCCUAUCCUAGGCUUAAUAGGUCACCUCUUACCCCUCUACAACUCCUUGGAAGGUGUCAUCGACUUUAACACUAUGAUCAUUUAGCUGAGAGAAACUUUGAAAAGAAGCUAUGCAACCAAUAAUUAUAUGAAUGAAAUACACUCACCGCCAUCUCAACAUAAUUGUUCCAGCCCAUUUUGUACUUAUAAUCUGGUCUAGCAUCAAACUUGGUGUAUGCUACCUUGCCUUAUUGUUAGUAUCUCCAUACCCUUGAUAGCCCAUAAUCAGGUCAAAAUAAGCAAGUUAAUUUAGAACAAAAUGAAAAAUCAACUUAAACUUCAAAACAAUAUUAUAAACAUUUAUAUCGAUAUGUAAAAAUUCAAGUUCUUAUUAUAAAAUCAUGGAGACCUAAGCUUUCUUUUAUAAAUGCAGCCAUACUUUUUGAAAAGUCUGUAGCAAGUUGCAAUUGAAAAAAUAUUCACAAAAUUUAUAGAGUUUAUGACAUAAAAUUUGUAGAGUUUGUAGGUUUCUUUAUUUGUUUUAAACUUUUUUGAUGUUUCUUGCAUUGGGUUUGCCCAAGGCAUGGGAGUUACCCACAUGUAUCCAAGAGUAUAGGGUCGUGCCCUAGAUAAACCCAGGGUAGAUCCAUACAUGGACUAUGACUUGUUGUGUCCAAUAUGGUGAUGUUGAUCUUAAUUGAAGAACCCAAAGACUAAUAUGCCCUAGAUGCUAUAAUGUGCAUCAUUGCAUAGGGUUACGAGUCAUUGGCUUAUGUCUACCUUAACUCUUAUUAAGUGAUAUGAUCAUUAUUGUAUUCUUAUUUAGAUGGUGUUAUAUUUAGGUAUCCAAGUUGGCUUGGGUGAAAUCCAGGGCAUAAGUACGGUAUAUAUAUAGGAGCUAGUGUCUAGUUUAUUAUCACCAUAUUGAGUAUUGUGUUCUUAUUGAAGAUUAUAGGAGGUAUCCCCUUUAAGCAGAUCAGGAAGUUGCUCCCUCAAAGUGGCAUAUUAUUAUUAAAUAUUUGUAUCAUAUUUCCAACUAUAUUAUUUAAUUGUGCAAGUUGUUUUAUUACAAGUGGUAUCAAAGUAUGAACUUAGCACCAUGAAGGCAACAAACAUGACUAUUUUUUCUUUAUGUUAUAGGUCAUUUUGGUGAUCUAUUUGGUUUUGAAAGAGUUUUUCAAGGCAAUAUUGAAUCCACUAUAGUAUAGAUUUGAGGUCAUUUGGAGCGAGUAGUUGCAAAAUUAGGGUUUCCACAAAAUUUUCUCCCAAGGCAAAAAAUUAGUGAAUUUUCCCCUAUAUUCUAUAAGAUUGAACAAGGACACAUUGAUCCACUUAUAGUACUCAUUUGGAGGCAUUUGGACUUGUUUGCAAUACGCUAUUACAAAUUGGGUUUUCCAUCAAGUUUACCCUUAGCAAAUCAAUGACAUUCUUGGAGAUCUUUUAUGGGAAGUGAGAUCUAGGCCUUGCUAAGUUACAAUAUAAAUUUCAUAUUGAUUGGAUUUGUUAUUUGUAAUUUAUUUUCUUGCACCAUCGCAGUGGCUUCAACAAGAGGCGAGGUAAGGAAUCUUGUUACUCUUGGGAGGACUAAGUUACAAAGAGGACCCAUUAGUAGAGGAGAGGGAUAUUGUAACCUUGGAUAAUGUAAGGGUAGAGAUCAAAGUGAAGGAAAAAUCUUGACAAGGAUGGAUGCAAAGAAGAUCACAAGGCAAUGGUUGGACAAAGAGUUUUUAGACAAGGUUCUAGAGAUUCCUAGCGGUAUGAGAACAGCGUCUACAAGAAACAUUGGAUUCCUUGAUCCCCACGUGUAGGGUACUUGCGAUGGUAGGGCCAUGCCCUAUGUGAACACAGGUGGAACUGUCCUUGGAGCAGGACUUGUCCUUUCUGGUAUAGGUAUGGGGGCCUAACUAAAGAACUUGGUAACUUAUAUCAUCAUAAAAAGUGUAUUUAUCAUUCACUAAGUUGUACCCUAAGUAUCUAUUGGGAUCAAACCUAGUCGUAUGAGAGCACCAAAUGCCUACAAGAUUGAAGUACAAGAAGCAUUGGAUUCUGCAAUCCCUCUAUCUACCUUUGUGCAUGUUGUUCAUGGUCUUGGAUUUUAAAAGAAGCAUCGGAUUCUGCAAUAUUUCUAUCUACCUUGGUGCAUGCUGGUCAUGGUCUUGGAUAGCAGCUGAAUCCAAUUCACUUGACCUUUGUAGUUAAUCUUUGUAGGUGUACUUCAAAAUUAGGAAUUUUAAAGGCUUUUGAGCCAUCAUAGCUUCAAGGGGAUUAUAUAUUUGCUACUUGACAGAAGUCUUAAGUUAACAUUGAUGUUCGUUAGUUUGAAGAAAGAUUGAUUUGAUAUAAGGAAUUUGAAUUUUUUAAACAUUCUUCUCUUUCAACUAUUUCACUAUUGGGUAGAAAAUUAAUCAUGAAUUGGUGGGAGGCAUUACCAGACGUGUGAAUAUUGUUAAGAACUGUAUAGAACUUAAAACCAUCUCAGGGAAAUACCUCAGAAUAACUCUAUUUCAUUAAACAUUAUGACUACCAGUGUAUUAAAUGGUAGUAGUUGCACAAAAUGCCUAGCUGGUCUAUCCAAGAUUAAAUUGGAAAUCGCAAUGCGGAGCACAAUUGCCGCCUAACUUGAGCCAUAUGCCCUACAAGGCACAGAAUUUCUAACAUUCAACAUUGUUGGUGAUUUCUGUGGAUGUGUGUCCCAAAUAGAUGUGUCAAAUAUCAUCCUGAAGAAUGUAAGAAGAAACUGGCUAAUCAGGACAAAUGUUCAAUACCAAAAUUCAUCAAAGGAAGCAGUUUCACAGUCUUUGUUGCCCAACUGAACUGUCCUUGCAAAAUGGUGCCACAUAAUAGCAACUUGAAAAUGGUCUCAAGUUAAACUUAGUAAUUGGCUUGACUUUCAGAUGGCCACAAUACACUCAAACAAAGGGGGUUGUCAGAUUUACCGUAGUGGUGGGAUGUAGAAGCACUCUGCCAUCCCUGACAAUGGUAAAAUACUAAAAUUAACCCUUAACAACAAAUCUUAUACACCUCUUUCUCUUACAGCUCAAGACAAACCUGUAUCGCAUUUUUUACCUUUUCAUGGUGAAAAGAUGAUAAUCAAAAUAAAUUGGUCUUUACGGAUGUGGCUAUAUAUUUCACCAGGCAAACACACUACAUCCACAACCUGACACCACUAGCUGGCCAAGAGCACAAAGUAAUUUGUGAUGUCUUUCUCAAUAAGUUGAUAUAUGGGAAUGACAUGGAAUCCGUGAACUGGUAGCUCAGCGAGUCAUUCGCACCAGUCACCAUGGUAGGAAAAAUCUUUCUCACGAUUGAUUGACGUGGCAAACCAAAAAUUCCUAAUUAGUCAGUGAAACCUUUAGAGUUUUUGAAACAAAAAAAACAAAAAUGGAGAAGAAAAUACUUUUUUCUAAAUAAAUUUCGUGGAACAAAAAGAGUGUAAGACAUGAAAUAUGUAUCUUUUUAAUUAAUUUUGAGCUUGCUAAUUAUAUUAAAUGGUACUUUACUAUAUUGUCCUUUAUGUUUGCAAGUUCAUAAUUUGAACCUAGAAAUCAAUUACAAAGUACAAAAUACAAAUUCAACCUCCAAAUUAACAAAAUACAGAGAUAACCAAUAGAGCUAUUUACUACAAUUUACUAGGGGGCUGCAGAUCAUGAUGCUGAAGUUCUAAGGUCCAGGCUUGAUUGAUCUCAUGUUCAUCAUUAACUUUCAUUGAAUAUAGCAAGGUUCUCAUCAUUUACAAUCCAUUCUGAAUCUGAAUCAAUAUCGUCAAGGGCAAUUGAUUGACUAUCUUUGAUAGCUAUUGAUAUAAUCCCAUUGAUGGUUAAGUUCAUUGCAUAUAUGGAAUGAGUAAGCACAUCAUGCAAUAAAUUCAAUAUUAUUUGAAAUUUGCAAGUUGCAACAAAUAUAAUAAUUAUAAUAUAAUCAAAAGUAAUUAUGACCUUGAAUUGUCUUGUGCCAAAGACAGUUUAUGGUGAACUAAUAUGUCAUUCUUCUACUUUUGAGUCAAAGGAUUACCUUUCUUGGAAUGUAUAUGUUAAAACAUAUUUCAUGGUUGGUCCAAUGUGUGCACAUCCAUUGAUCGUAUGUUUUUGGCUUCCUUGCUAUAAAACAAAAAAGUUGAUUGCACUGACAAAAACCAAAAUUUAUCAAGAUUCUAUCAUCUAUGAUUUAUUUAAUAUCUAUAAUGUAUUGUGAACUUCUAAGUUCAAACUACCAAAUAUUUAUUAAACUAAUCGAUAUUUAUAAUUAUUAAACUACUUAAUAAUGAAUAUAUUAUUUUAUUAUACAUAUGUGAUUUGUCUUCCCUGCAAUUCUUAUGUCUUCUUCAACACUAAAUCCUCAUUAUUUCUGAUUCUAGAAUCUUUUUAUUUAUCUUCUUUUCUGUAUUUAGAAAAUCCUUACAGCAGUCAGCAAAAACUGAGACAUUUAUGACAUCCACCACCAUCCCACCCUUAUCACUUCCUCUGCUCUCCACUAAGCCAGAGGUGUCCGUGAUGUAUGAAUUAAGAAAUAUCUGAUUAGCACCUUCCUAAUGUUAUGAUAUGGGAGUGUUCACUAAGCAACCAAUAACAAUAAUAAUUAUAGCCUAUUUUAAUACUCUAUUCAUAUUGUGCCUCCAAUACAAUACCUUGUAAAUAUUCCUUAUUUUUCCAAGAUCAACCAUUGUACAUGACAUCAUGUUGUCUAAGGCUUUGACACAAAUCAAAAUUGUUGUCAUGACAUUGAGAAACUUUGUUUGUCUUGGGUUCUCAGCAUCCCUGGGAUGGGCAUGGAAUGCCUAGGCAUCCUCUGACCAUCUCAGGGAUGUCAGGGAGUCCCCUUAAUGCCUCUUGCAGGGGGACGCCCCCAGGAUGCACUCUGCUUUGGCGGGGACAUCUUGAGGAUCUACCCUCCUGCAGGUGACAGCGGUGGUGGAGGAAUGAAAUGGCACUUUUUUGGGGGGGUGAUUGGUUCCUGUGGGACACUGAUAUAAGGUGAUGCAAAGACAUGUUUUUGGUUAGUGAAGGCAUUUAGGUUGUAACGGUGGAGCAAAGCACUUUAAAAUAUGGAUCCAGAAUAAAUAUUUUUGUCUGAAAUGGAAUACUUAAUCUUCCAACAAUGUUACCAUCUGGCUUUGUUAACUUCUUUUUAUUAUACUAAUAUUUUAAGUUUUAGCUUACAGAUUUUUUAGAAACACCAUGUUUUAUAUGAGAGGACUGUUAGUCAUUUGGGGAGUAAAUUACUAAAGGAACUACAAUAAGUAACAAUUAAAGAUCUCCUUGUGUACAAAACUGACAGAUAUAUCCAAAUUGCCAUCAUGGUUUUCAAUUUUUCUCUGUUGGUAUCAUGUGAACUCAUUUUAAGUCGAUGACAAUUCCACCGGCUUGCCUGGACACAUCAGGUGGUGACUUUCAUAGAGGGCUGAAUCGCAUACAUAAAAACAUAUAUAAAUAACUACAAAAUUUUCUUCUUCUCGAACUCCUGAAAAAAUUUCUCAGAGAGUCGCUGUUGAUAGAAAGGCUAUUGAUGAUAGACAUUGUCAAGACAGAUCUUUGGUGCAGGUAAAUAAUUGUGUUGCAAUUAUCGGGAACAGCUAGUGUUUUAUAUUGGUAAGCUAGCAGUCUGAGGUAUGUUAUCUUUACAAAGUGUUAUAUCUUUUAACAUCCAUUCUUUAACACAUUGCCUCUUUAAAUUUGUAUUUUUUUGUAAACAGCAUCCAUACAUUUCUUUCACAUCUAAUCAGAUCUAAAGCAAAAGAACAAUUUAUUUCUCAGGAUGAAAGCACCAUUGUUGUGCUUGCUAUUUGUUGCCGGCUUAAGAUCAUGAAAUUCACGAAGAUGCUUCAAAUAUUGAAUUCAAACUGUCAAAUGCAGGGAAAAAGUGUCCUGGUCCAGAAA